Molecule: transfer RNA, 74 nt
Filed under: Anatilimnocola aggregata
Lineage: Bacteria; Pseudomonadati; Planctomycetota; Planctomycetia; Pirellulales; Pirellulaceae
Description: Planctomycetes bacterium ETA_A8 tRNA-Arg
Rfam family: tRNA
About the family: Transfer RNA (tRNA) molecules are approximately 80 nucleotides in length.
Source: RNAcentral
GCCCUUGUAGCUCAGUGGAUAGAGCAAUCGUUUCCUAAACGAUAGGUCGGCGGUUCGAGUCUGCCCAGGGGCAC